Molecule: long non-coding RNA, 4538 nt
Organism: Epinephelus fuscoguttatus (brown-marbled grouper)
Lineage: Eukaryota; Metazoa; Chordata; Actinopteri; Perciformes; Serranidae
Exons: 3
Source: RefSeq, a predicted model, not a curated record
GAAAAGCAUUUUUCAAAGUCUCUGUGUGUUCAGCUCUCAGUACUUGCGUAGCUUCCACCUGAAUCUCUGUCAUUUGGAGUUUGGUUUCUCUCCUACAUCCUGUUUUUACUUUAGAUAUCUGCUUUAUUUAACUGUUUCCUGUUCACUUUCAGCUGUACAGAACUCUGUUAAGUUACUGCUGAUGACAUAAGUGUACUUUUUUUUUUUUUAAAGAUAUUUUUUGGGCAUUUUUAAGCCUUUAAUUGAUAGGACAGCAAGUGUGAAGGGGGGAGAGAGAGAGAGGGAAUGACAUGCAGCAAAGGGCCACAGGCUGGAGUCGAACCAGGGCCGCUGCAGCAACAGCCUUGUACAUGGGGCGCCUGCUUUACCACUGAGCCACCGACGCCCCGACACAAGUGUACUUGGGUAUGGAACAACAUCGCUAAUGUGAAAGCUGAGUGGCAGGGCGUCAUGGUUGCUGUACGGCUUUCUCCAAAGUCCAUGCUGUGAACCACAUCAUAAAAAGAGGAGGGGCGGUGCAGUGCCGGCGGCAGGGCAUCACCGAAGGGUGCACCAUCAAUGCUGUUGUACUGCAGUGGAAACGUCGCCACGUGUGUGUGGACUCAACACCUCACAAGAUGCGGAAACUUCUUGCAACUUUGUGAUAACAUACACAUGGGCACAAACACACAAACACAUACACAGCUGAUUAACAAUCAAAAAAUGUAUAGCAACAAAUACUUUCUGCAGCUCUUAAACUGUCUCAGCUUUCCAUUUCAGAAGUACCAACCCACAACCUUCCCACUGUUAAAAAUACUCACAGUCAAUGUGACACAGUGGCCAGACAGCUUCAUGGCGUCAAAAGGCCUCUAUUUGGAGUGGCUGGGUACCCAUCCCGCCGGGGGUUACUGCUCACUGUUAUGAAUGUUAGCUUUGUGAUUACGUUAGCUGCUGAGCAAAAGGCUAUCGCCAUGCAAACGAUCUCUUACCCGGUGUGUGUGUGCUGUUCUACUGGCUUAGCUGCUAAGAGGCUGUUGCUGCGCAGUGGCUUGUUCUUCUUGGGGGUCAUGUAUGUUACUGUGUCUCUGGCUUAGCUCCUAUCAAGAGACAAUGGCUUAGCAAUGGCCUGAUCUUCAAAUCAGCUCCCUCUGCGGACAUACAUCCAGCAUCUCAGAGCAGAUAACACUGCUCAUUUUUUCCCCCAGAUUUUGUCACCUUGUUUUAUAUACCUAUAAUUACGUAUAUAGCCAUAUAUACCCAUAGCAAUUUUUUAGAUCAUUUAAAUUUGGCUGGGUGGUUAAUAACACAUUUUUCUACAGAAGGUUUCCUAACUACAGAAAGCUUGUUAAGUAAAAACUCAAAACAGUUUAUGAAUUUAUGAAACAUAGCCACAGUCUUGAGGUGUGGUUACCUGUGCAGAUGUAAUACCGCACAAGCAAAUGCCAAGAUAUUCCAAAUGGAAACAAGCUCACCAAAACAAAGCAUAUCUUAACUGUCUAUUGUUUCUACUUUUAAACUGACACACACCUUUAUCCCUUAAGCAACACAAAAAAUUACGAAACCAUGAACUUCACAAUAUGCUGCCAAAACGUGCCAAGUAAUGCAGGCCUACUGGUUUUGUGUUCCUAUCCAGCAGCAACAGAAAAACCCACAAGGGAAAGAGCAACAGACACCUAUGCAGGAGGAAGACCAAAAUCUGAACAUCCCGACCACAACUGCAGACAACCAGUCUGUCGUGUUUGUCUUCUGUUACUACAAACUGAAGAGUCAUUCCCUUUCUGAAACUGUGUCUCGGUGUCUGUCAAGAAACAUGCUACAAAAGAUAUCUGCUACUAAUGCAAGAAAGACAGAGUUGCUCGUAAGCCGACCACCACAGACACAAAGAUUAUAGAAGCAGAUUGAGAGAGAGCCAACCCUUUGUCUCUCGCAAACUCAGAUCAAACUCCGAUCAAAUGGGCUGUAUUACCUAUUUCUUACAUAAAUGUCUUUAUAAACAUAUUUUAGUGCAGUGUUUGGCUGUAAAACAAGACUUUGUGAACAGGAAGUGAACACCAUUGUAUUGUAUUGUAAAAAUGGAGGAUGAAAAUACUGAGAUCAAACGGUAAAACUUAGCAGUGCUGAUCAACUACGAACCAAGACUCUGUUACUGCAUGUUAGCUAAAAUAGGUUUUGGAAACUGUUUCCUAUGUCAAAACAAACAAACUCGCAUUACAUCAUCCACCAGCAAGAGUGCUUAUUGACAGAGCAUUCUGGUUGUUUUAGGUUUCCAUUUUUAGGUUUUAGUUACCUCUGAGCAAAAGUGAAUGUCACGGCCCUUUUUUUUUUUCCUUCUUCUUCUUCUUUUUUUUUUUUUUUUUUUACUGGUCAUGUAGCAACAAUUUCAAAAUUAUUUGCAUCUACUAUGCCACCAAGGCCCUAUGUUCCCAUUGUACUAAGUUCCCAAGGUUCUUUGUUCCCAAGGCCCUAUGUUCCCAGGCUCCAUGUUCCAAGGGUCCUAAGUUCCCAAGGUUCUUUGUCCCCACAGUCUUUGUUACCAAGUUACAAACAUUAACCCUCUGACUGCGUUUGGGUCAAUUAUGAUGCGUUUUUAGUUGAAAUAUUUUGUAAAUAAAAUAACCUGACCCUUAAUCUCUUUCCUAAUCUUAACCUGUUUGGAAAUAGCAAAAGUCAGCUUCUAUAGAUUUCCUAACCCAAAAAUAUAAUCAUUAUUUUUCUUCUUCUUAUUUUUUUUUUUAUCUUUUACUUUUCUUCUUUUCUCUUUUAAUUAGUUAAUUAGUUGGUUGACUCAUUGUCAUAAUUUGAAAUUUAGGGCUUAAGUAUAUUUGGGAGUUGUUUUCAAAUAGGACCUUGGGAACAUGGGACCCUGAAAAGAUAGGACCAAGGGAAAAUCAGACCUUGAGAACACUGGGACUUAGGACCCUGGGAGCAUGGGACCCUGGGAACAUAGCAUCCUGGGAACAACGUAGGCCCCUGGGAACAUAAAACCUUGGGAACAUAGGACAUUGGGACCCUGGCAACAUAGCACCUUGAGAGCAUAGGACCCUGGCAACAUAGCACCUUGAGAGCAUAGAACCUUGGGAACAUAGGCCCCUGGGAACAUAAAACCUUGGAAACAUAGGACAUUGGGAAUAUAGGACUCGAGGAACAUAGGACCCUUGGAGCAAAGGACCCUGGGAACAUAGCACCCUGGCAGCAUAGGUCCCUACCAACAUAGGACCCUGAGAGCAUUGGUCCCUAGCAACAUAAGGCCCUGGAAACAUAGGACCUUAGGAACAUAAGACCUAGGGAACAUAGGACCCUGGCAACAUCGCACCCUGAGAGCAUAGGACAUUGGGAACAUAGGACCCUGGGAGCAUAGGACCUUGGGAACAUAGGACCCUGGGAUUAUUGGACCUGAGGAACAUAUGACCCUGGGAGCGUAGGACCCUGGGAACAUGAGACCCUGGGAGCAUAGGACCCUGAGAACAUAAGAUCCUGGGAACACAGAACCUUUGAACCACAGGACUGUGGGAGGAAUGUGCCAACACAGCUGACUCCCUCAAUUAUAAUCACAUGUCUAACUCUGUCCUCAUUGUUUAUUUUAACUCCUCUGUUUAUGAGCUGAAAGAAUGCAGUAAUUUAUUCUGCUGUCGUCAUCGAGGUGAACAUUGGCACUGUAACAAUCAAAGUCACUUCAAUCAUUAACUGCAAUCAAUCCGUUGUGUCUGGAUGUAAGUAUAUACUGCAAGGACUCCUGACGUACAAACCUAAUUACAUGCAGAUGUGGUAACAAAGAAAACUCAACAGCAUUGUCAUAAGACAUUAAUUUAAACACAAUAAUUAAAAUUGAUUUUAAUAAUUACAUGUAUUGGGAACUUUUGUAGAAGGCGACUAAUGCCUUUGACGUGAGGAUGACAAUCAAAGGCAUCCUGUUUUUGACCAGUAAUUACAGUCUAGAGUAAGAAUUGAAUGGGAUAGUUUCCAUAUUGUUUAUAUGUUCUGCAAUCAUGCAUGCCCAUGACAAAGGCCUGGUGAUGUUGAAAUACACUCUGCUAACUGCAGAGAGCAGCAAGUUAAAGGUGGUAAUGUGCAGCAAAAUGCAGCAAAAUGUGUGAACAAAAUAAGAAAAUUGCAAGUAGAUGUAGAUGAAAUAGACUGUGCAAAUGCUUUAAAGACAGGAAACAUUUGAUUUGUUUGUUUAGCCUUAUGAAUAGCUCAACAUUAGUUCAAACAAAGUUAUAGGUUAUCAAAUAGUAAAAAGACAGACUAUUUGUAGACUGUUUCUUGCUACUGGCUAAGAUUAGGCUUAUCUACAACAUAAGUCCUGUAAAAUGAAAACAUGUCAUUUUUACACAUCAGUUUGAGAACAUAUUAAACAAAUGUGUGUUUAUUUGUGAGUUUUAGAGGUUCAGUUACCCUUGGACAGAGCCAAUCAAGCUGUUUACCUCUGCUUAUGUUAAGCUAAGCUAGCAGGCUGCUAGCUAGAUAAGAUAUACCUUUGAGUUAUGUGUUUCAAAUCUGUGUUUUAUUCCUGUUUAAUUGCAACAUAUAAAUGUAAGAACAGUUUACAUUUCUGUAAA